GCGUCUGAUUAGCUAGUUGGUGAGGUAACGGCUCACCAAGGCAACGAUCAGUAACUGGUCUGAGAGGAUGAUCAGUCACACGGGCACUGAGACACGGGCCCGACUCCUACGGGAGGCAGCAGUAGGGAAUCUUAGACAAUGGGCGCAAGCCUGAUCUAGCCAUGCCGCGUGAGGGAUGAAGGCCUUAGGGUUGUAAA
This 197-nucleotide ribosomal RNA is filed under the name Aeromonas salmonicida subsp. salmonicida 01-B526. RNAcentral's name for it is "partial 16S ribosomal RNA". It matches the Rfam family "Bacterial small subunit ribosomal RNA", at positions 233 to 429 of the family's 1533-position model. The record is from RNAcentral. Lineage: Bacteria; Pseudomonadati; Pseudomonadota; Gammaproteobacteria; Aeromonadales; Aeromonadaceae.